ACGGAAGGCAGCAGUGGGGAAUAUUGCACAAUGGGGGAAACCCUGAUGCAGCGACGCCGCGUGAGUGAAGAAGUAUUUCGGUAUGUAAAGCUCUAUCAGCAGGGAAGAUAAUGACGGUACCUGACUAAGAAGCACCGGCUAAAUACGUGCCAGCAGCCGCGGUAAUACGUAUGGUGCAAGCGUUAUCCGGAUUUACUGGGUGUAAAGGGAGCGUAGACGGCAUGGCAAGUCUGAAGUGAAAGCCUGGGGCUCAACCCCGGAACUGCUUUGGAAACUGUUGAACUAGAGUGCAGGAGGGGUAAGCGGAAUUCCCAGUGUAGCGGUGAAAUGCGUAGAUAUUAGGAGGAACACCAGUGGCGAAGGCGGCUUGCUGGACGACAACUGACGCUGAGGCGCGAAAGCGUGGGGAGCAAACAGGAUUAGAUACCCUGGUA
RNAcentral lists this ribosomal RNA (434 nucleotides) under uncultured Lachnospiraceae bacterium. RNAcentral describes it as "partial 16S ribosomal RNA". It matches the Rfam family "Bacterial small subunit ribosomal RNA", at positions 341 to 792 of the family's 1533-position model. The record is from RNAcentral. Lineage: Bacteria; Bacillati; Bacillota; Clostridia; Lachnospirales; Lachnospiraceae.